This 253-nucleotide ribosomal RNA is filed under the name uncultured microorganism. Its description in RNAcentral is "partial 16S ribosomal RNA". It matches the Rfam family "Bacterial small subunit ribosomal RNA", at positions 524 to 776 of the family's 1533-position model. The record is from RNAcentral.
UACGUAGGGUGCGAGCGUUAAUCGGAUUUACUGGGCGUAAAGCGUGCGCAGGCGGCCCGUUAAGACAGGUGUGAAAUCCCUGGGCUCAACCUAGGAAUUGCGCUUGUGACUGGCGGGCUCGAGUACGGUAGAGGGGGGUGGAAUUCCUGGUGUAGCAGUGAAAUGCGUAGAUAUGCGGAGGAACACCGAUGGCGAAGGCAAUCCCCUGGACCUGUACUGACGCUCAUGCACGAAAGCGUGGGGAGCAAACAGG